GGGUUGUGAGGUUAAGUGACUAAGCGUACACGGUGGAUGCCUAGGCAGUCAGAGGCGAUGAAGGACGUGCUAAUCUGCGAUAAGCGUCGGUGAGCUGAUAUGAAGCAUUAUUAGCCGGCGAUGUCCGAAUGGGGAAACCCAGUGCAAUUCGUUGCACUAUCGUUAAGUGAAUACAUAGCUUAACGAGGCGAACCAGGGGAACUGAAACAUCUAAGUACCCUGAGGAAAAGAAAUCAACCGAGAUUCCCCUAGUAGCGGCGAGCGAACGGGGAAGAGCCCAGAACCUGAAUCAGUUUGUGCAUUAGUGGAAGCGUCUGGAAAGUCGCGCGAUACCGGGUGAUAGCCCCGUACACGAAGGUGCACAGCUGUGAGUUCGAUGAGUAGGGCGGGACACGUGUUAUCCUGUCUGAAUAUGGGGGACCAUCCUCCAAGGCUAAAUACUCCUGACUGACCGAUAGUGAACCAGUACCGUGAGGGAAAGGCGAAAAGAACCCCGGCGAGGGGAGUGAAAUAGAACCUGAAACCGUGUACGUACAAGCAGUGGGAGCAUCCUUCGGGGUGUGACUGCGUACCUUUUGUAUAAUGGGUCAGCGACUUAUAUUUUGUAGCAAGGUUAACCGAAUAGGGGAGCCGUAGGGAAACCGAGUCUUAACUGGGCGUCUAGUUGCAAGGUAUAGACCCGAAACCCGGUGAUCUAGCCAUGGGCAGGUUGAAGGUUGGGUAACACUAACUGGAGGACCGAACCGACUAAUGUUGAAAAAUUAGCGGAUGACUUGUGGCUGGGGGUGAAAGGCCAAUCAAACCGGGAGAUAGCUGGUUCUCCCCGAAAGCUAUUUAGGUAGCGCCUCGUGAAUUCAUCUUCGGGGUAGAGCACUGUUUCGGCUAGGGGGUCAUCCCGACUUACCAACCCGAUGCAAACUACGAAUACCGAAGAAUGUUAUCACGGGAGACACACGGCGGGUGCUAACGUCCGUCGUGAAGAGGGAAACAACCCAGACCGCCAGCUAAGGUCCCAAAGUCAUGGUUAAGUGGGAAACGAUGUGGGAAGGCAUAGACAGCCAGGAUGUUGGCUUAGAAGCAGCCAUCAUUUAAAGAAAGCGUAAUAGCUCACUGGUCGAGUCGGCCUGCGCGGAAGAUGUAACGGGGCUAAACCAUGCACCGAAGCUGCGGCAGCGACACUAUGUGUUGUUGGGUAGGGGAGCGUUCUGUAAGCCUGUGAAGGUGGCCUGUGAGGGCUGCUGGAGGUAUCAGAAGUGCGAAUGCUGACAUAAGUAACGAUAAAGCGGGUGAAAAGCCCGCUCGCCGGAAGACCAAGGGUUCCUGUCCAACGUUAAUCGGGCAGGGUAAGUCGACCCCUAAGGCGAGGCCGAAAGGCGUAGUCGAUGGGAAACAGGUUAAUAUUCCUGUACUUGGUGUUAUUGCGAAGGGGGGACGGAGAAGGCUAGACCGGCCGGGCGACGGUUGUCCCGGUUUAAGCGUGUAGGUGUGAUGACCUGGCAAAUUAACACUGAGGCGUGAUGACGAGGCACUACGGUGCUGAAGUGGUUAAUGCCCUGCUUCCAGGAAAAGCCUCUAAGCUCUAGAUAACACUGAAUCGUACCCCAAACCGACACAGGUGGUCAGGUAGAGAAUACCAAGGCGCUUGAGAGAACUCGGGUGAAGGAACUAGGCAAAAUGGUGCCGUAACUUCGGGAGAAGGCACGCUGGCAUGUAGGUGAAGUCCCUCGCGGAUGGAGCCGAAGCCAGUCGAAGAUACCAGCUGGCUGCAACUGUUUAAUAAAAACACAGCACUCUGCAAACACGAAAGUGGACGUAUAGGGUGUGACGCCUGCCCGGUGCUGGAAGGUUAAUUGAUGGGGUCAGCCGCAAGGCGAAGCUCUUGAUCGAAGCCCCAGUAAACGGCGGCCGUAACUAUAACGGUCCUAAGGUAGCGAAAUUCCUUGUCGGGUAAGUUCCGACCUGCACGAAUGGCGUAAUGAUGGCCAGGCUGUCUCCACCCGAGACUCAGUGAAAUUGAACUCGCUGUGAAGAUGCAGUGUACCCGCGGCAAGACGGAAAGACCCCGUGAACCUUUACUAUAGCUUGACACUGAACAUUGAACCUUGAUGUGUAGGAUAGGUGGGAGGCUUUGAAGUGUGGACGCCAGUCUGCAUGGAGCCGACCUUGAAAUACCACCCUUUAAUGUUUGAUGUUCUAACCUGGUCCCGUAAUCCGGGAUAGGGACAGUGUCUGGUGGGUAGUUUGACUGGGGCGGUCUCCUCCCAAAGAGUAACGGAGGAGCACGAAGGUUAGCUAAUCCUGGUCGGACAUCAGGAGGUUAGUGCAAAGGCAUAAGCUAGCUUGACUGCGAGAGUGACGGCUCGAGCAGGUGCGAAAGCAGGUCUUAGUGAUCCGGUGGUUCUGAAUGGAAGGGCCAUCGCUCAACGGAUAAAAGGUACUCCGGGAUAACAGGCUGAUACCGCCCAAGAGUUCAUAUCGACGGCGGUGUUUGGCACCUCGAUGUCGGCUCAUCACAUCCUGGGGCUGAAGUAGGUCCCAAGGGUAUGGCUGUUCGCCAUUUAAAGUGGUACGCGAGCUGGGUUUAGAACGUCGUGAGACAGUUCGGUCCCUAUCUGCCGUGGGCGUUGGAAGAUUGAGAGGGGCUGCUCCUAGUACGAGAGGACCGGAGUGGACGCACCGCUGGUGUUCGGGUUGUGAUGCCAAUUGCAUUGCCCGGUAGCUACGUGCGGAAGAGAUAAGCGCUGAAAGCAUCUAAGCGCGAAACUUGCCUCGAGAUGAGUCUUCCCUUGGACCUUGAGUCCACUAAAGGAACGUUUAAGACUAAGACGUUGAUAGGCUGGGUGUGUAAGCGUAGCGAUACGUUGAGCUAACCAGUACUAAUGAUCCGUGAGGCUUAACCUUACAACACCGAAGGUGUUU
RNAcentral lists this ribosomal RNA (2919 nucleotides) under Edwardsiella tarda. Its description in RNAcentral is "bacterial LSU rRNA". It matches the Rfam family "Bacterial large subunit ribosomal RNA". Lineage: Bacteria; Pseudomonadati; Pseudomonadota; Gammaproteobacteria; Enterobacterales; Hafniaceae. The record is from RNAcentral.